GGGGGCGUUACGGAUUCGACAGGCAUAGUUUGAACAGUUAAGGCAAUUCGUAGGCGAUGGCUACGUUAAAACAUCACAGUUUAAAUAUAACUGACAAAACACAAAAUAAUUCUUUCGCUUUCGCUGCGUAAAAAACAGUGAGCGAAGAUCUGCCUUACUUCUCCCAUGAGUAAGUGACAGGUCUUAAAUGAAUGGGAUACGUUACAAACUUACAUCUGGAGUGCGUAAAAGAGAUUUAUCAGAUUAGCAACUUUUAAUGCCUGUUUAUUGGCUAAAAAGAAGCGAAAUAUAAAUAAAUAAACUAUAAUUGUAGAAUUGAUUGUGGCAAUAUGUUUGGACGCGGGUUCGACUCCCGCCGCUUCCAUAU
Molecule: transfer-messenger RNA, 367 nt
Filed under: Aerococcaceae
Lineage: Bacteria; Bacillati; Bacillota; Bacilli; Lactobacillales
Also listed under: 1 other name
Description: WM01 sp013874835 Standard tmRNA
Rfam family: transfer-messenger RNA
About the family: Bacterial tmRNA, also known as 10Sa RNA or SsrA, is named for its dual tRNA and mRNA-like properties. Its role is to liberate the mRNA from a stalled ribosome.
Source: RNAcentral